AUGGAAGAGUUGGGCACCGUCCCGGGCACGCUUCUUCCACUGGCUCGCCGACCAGGACCGAUGCUGGACCGCCGACCGCUUGGCACGCCGCGGGCUGCAGCACCACCACGACCCUUGCCUCCUGUGCUGCCAGGACCCCAAGACGAUGGACCAUCUGCUCCUCCAAUGCCCCUUCUCCAGGAAAGUUUGGCAUGA
This 195-nucleotide ribosomal RNA is filed under the name Triticum aestivum (bread wheat). Its description in RNAcentral is "partial small subunit ribosomal RNA". The record is from RNAcentral. Lineage: Eukaryota; Viridiplantae; Streptophyta; Magnoliopsida; Poales; Poaceae.